RNAcentral lists this transfer RNA (69 nucleotides) under Heyndrickxia coagulans. Its description in RNAcentral is "tRNA-Ala". It matches the Rfam family "tRNA". From Rfam's summary of the family: Transfer RNA (tRNA) molecules are approximately 80 nucleotides in length. Their secondary structure includes four short double-helical elements and three loops (D, anti-codon, and T loops). The record is from RNAcentral. Lineage: Bacteria; Bacillati; Bacillota; Bacilli; Caryophanales; Bacillaceae.
GGAGCAAACCCAAAACGAUGCGCUACAUUCGCAUUGUAGAGGUCGGCGGUUCGAAUCCGCUAUGCUCCA